GGAGUGGUGGCAGAGUGGUCGAAUGCGAUAGUUUGCUAAACUGUUGUACUGGGUAACCGGUACCGAGGGUUCGAAUCCCUCCCACUCCG
RNAcentral lists this transfer RNA (89 nucleotides) under Turneriella parva DSM 21527. RNAcentral describes it as "tRNA-Ser (GCT) (tRNA-Ser-GCT-1-1)". It matches the Rfam family "tRNA". Rfam says of the family: Transfer RNA (tRNA) molecules are approximately 80 nucleotides in length. Their secondary structure includes four short double-helical elements and three loops (D, anti-codon, and T loops). RNAcentral also lists the same sequence under 1 other name. Lineage: Bacteria; Pseudomonadati; Spirochaetota; Leptospiria; Leptospirales; Leptospiraceae. The record is from Rfam by way of RNAcentral.